This 320-nucleotide ribosomal RNA is filed under the name Sclerophrys superciliaris (Cameroon toad). RNAcentral's name for it is "partial 12S ribosomal RNA". It matches the Rfam family "Bacterial small subunit ribosomal RNA", at positions 794 to 1287 of the family's 1533-position model. Lineage: Eukaryota; Metazoa; Chordata; Amphibia; Anura; Bufonidae. The record is from RNAcentral.
GCCCAGCCGUAAACUUUUACUUACAUACAAUCGCCAGGGAACUACGAGCCAAGCUUAAAACCCAAAGGACUUGACGGUACCCCAUAUCCCCCUAGAGGAGCCUGUCCUGUAAUCGAUAAUCCACGUUUAACCUCACCACUUAUAGCUAUCAGCCUGUAUACCUCCGUCGUCAGCUUACCACGUGAGCGUCAAUUAGUGAGCCUAAUGUUACUUCACCAACACGUCAGGUCAAGGUGCAGCAAAUGAAGUGGGAAGAGAUGGGCUACACUCUCUACAAUAGAAAAAACGAAAGACUACCUAUGAAACCUAGUUGGAAGGAG